RNAcentral lists this ribosomal RNA (254 nucleotides) under uncultured bacterium. RNAcentral describes it as "partial 16S ribosomal RNA". It matches the Rfam family "Bacterial small subunit ribosomal RNA", at positions 524 to 776 of the family's 1533-position model. The record is from RNAcentral.
UACAGAAGUGGCAAGCGUUGUUCGGAAUUACUGGGCGUAAAGGGCGCGUAGGCGGUCUUCUAAGUCUUGUGUGAAAUCCCUCGGCUCAACUGAGGAACUGCACGGGAUACUGGAAGACUUGAGUUCGGGAGAGGGAAGCGGAAUUCCGGGUGUAGCGGUGAAAUGCGUAGAUAUCCGGAGGAACACCGGUGGCGAAGGCGGCUUCCUGGACCGAUUACUGACGCUGAGGCGCGAAAGCUAGGGGAGCAAACGGG